AUGCUCGCCGUGAUGGCGACGAUGAUGAUGAUGAUGGCCACCGCCGCUGCACUCGUACCGGAGGGGGCGGUGCUUGCAGGACAGGCGAGGGCGCUCCUCGUCUGGAAAGCCAGCCUCGACGACCAAAGCCAGCACACACUGCUGUCCUGGGAGAACAUGUCGGCGCCCUGCAGCUGGCGUGGCAUCACGUGCACAGGGCAACAUCGCCGGCCGGUGAUCAGCGGCAUCUCUCUGCAGGGGAUGCGGCUUAGAGGGGCGCUGGGGCCACUCGACUUCUCAGCCUUGGCGACCCUGACGCGCCUCGACCUCUCGCACAACCACCUCAGCGGGAGCAUCCCUGCCGGCAUUGAGGCCCUCGGAGAGCUCCGUGCUCUGCUUCUACAAGGCAACCAGAUAAGAGGCUCCAUUCCACUAGGCCUAGCAAAUCUCACAAAAUUACGCUCCUUAAUGCUUAAUGAAAAUGAACUCUCCGGUGGAAUACCAAGGCACAUAGGCAACAUGAGUAAUCUUGUGAACCUCACCUUGUCGGUCAAUCACUUGGUUGGUCAAAUCCCCUUUGAAAUAGGCCACCUAAAGCACUUGGUUACAUUAGAUUUUUCUAAUAACAAUCUUUCCGGCUCAAUCCCAAGCAAUAUAUGUGACUUGACAAAACUUGCUACCUUGUACCUUGACGCCAACCAACUCUUUGGACACAUCCCUCGAGAACUUGGUCAUUUGGUCAAUUUAAAGGACCUGGGCCUUAGCCGAAACAAGCUGAUAGGUUCCAUCCCAAAUAACUUGAGAAAUUUAACAAAACUCACUGCCUUGUAUUUUGGACAGAACGAACUUCCUGGCCAAAUUCCACAAGAUUUAGGUUAUCUAGUGAAUUUAAAGGUCUUGGAUCUUUGUCAAAACACGUUCUCAGGUUCCAUUCCAAUAAAUUUGUUUAAUUCGACGAAGCUCACUAUCUUAUCUCUAUGGGGCAACAGGCUCUCUGGUCAAAUUCCACAAGAAUUAAGUCAGCUAGUUAACUUGGAGGAAUUAGAACUUAAUACAAACACACUAUCAGGUUCUAUCCCAAUCACUAUAGGGAAUUUGACCAAACUCACUAGAUUAUACCUUUUCCAGAACCAACUUUCGGGGCAAAUUCCACGGGUGCUAGGUUAUAUGAUGAACUUAAAAGAAUUGGCUCUAUAUGAAAACACACUCUCAGGGAACAUUCCAAGAAAUUUAUGUAAUUUGACCAAGCUCACUGUCUUAAUUCUUUCACGCAAUAGACUUUCUGGUCAGAUUCCACAAGAAUUAGGUUACCUUGUGAACUUAAAUGACAUGGAUCUUACUUUUAAUACACUCUCAGGUCCUAUCCCAGUCACCAUAGGCAAUCUGACAAAACUCAAUAUAUUAAGCCUUUUUAUGAACCAACUUUCGGGGCGAAUUCCACGAGAAUUGGGUUACCUUGUGAACUUAGAGGAGUUGGAUCUUAAUAUUAACAAACUAUCAGGUUCCAUCCCAAACAGCUUACGAAGUUUGACAAAGCUCACCAAGUUAUGCCUUGCACAAAACCAACUCUCUGGAUCUAUUCCUCAAGGAAUUGGCAAGUUAACGAGCCUAGUUCAACUGCAACUCCCUUUUAACAACCUCUCUGGUUCCUUGCCAUCUGGUCUUUGUGCGGGAGGUCAGCUACAAUUUUUGAUCGUUAACGACAACAACUUGGUUGGACCCUUGCCAUCAAGUUUGCUAAGUUGUACAAGCCUAGUCAGGAUUCGACUUGAACGGAAUUACCUCGAAGGAGAUAUCACCGAGAUGGGAGCUCAUCCAAAUCUUGUCUAUAUUGAUAUAAGUUCAAAUAAACUAUUUGGUAAACUAUCUCAUCGUUGGGCUGAGUGCUACAAUCUUACAGUGCUACGUGCAUCAAAAAACAAUAUAACCGGAGUAAUACCAUCAAGUAUUGGGAAAUUAUCUUGGUUGGGGAUACUUGAUGUUUCAUCAAAUAAGCUUGAAGGACAAAUUCCUCCAGAAAUCGGCAAUAUAACGAUGUUGUUCAGUUUGAGCCUUUUUGGUAACUUGCUCCAGGGAAAUAUGCCCGCAGAAAUUGGAUCACUGAAAAAUGUGGAAUAUCUAGAUUUAUCAUCAAACAACCUAACUGGGCAGAUACCAGGAUCAAUUCAGCAUUGUUUGAAGCUUCACUCUCUAAAGUUGAGCCAUAAUCACUUCAAUGGUAUAAUUCCUAAUGAACUAGGGAUGUUGGUAAACCUACAAGAUAUGUUGGAUCUAAGUGAAAAUUCAAUUGAUGGCGCUAUUCCUAGUCAACUAGGUGGUCUUACUAUGCUUGAAGCCUUGAAUCUUUCUCACAAUGCACUGAACGGCAGCAUUCCACCAUCAUUCCAGAGCAUGAACAGCCUCCUAUACAUGGAAAUGUCAUACAACAAAUUAGAAGGGUCAGUGCCACAUACUAGGCUCUUUGAAGAGGCUCCAAUCAAAUGGUUUAAGCAUAAUAAGAAAUUGUGUGGUGUUGUAAGAGGUUUGCCCCCUUGUGAUCUUCCUCAAAGUAGUGAACAAGGGAAAAAUUCUGGUGCUAUUUUACUCUCUAUAAUAGCCGCAAUUGCAUCUUUUAUGUUUGUCAUUGCACUGGUAACAUGGCAGUGCAAAAAGAAGAAAACCAAGACAGCAGUUAUAGAUAAAUCACAACAAACCAAGAUGUUCACCAUUUGGAAUUUUGAUGGGGAAGAUGUGUACAAGAAAAUUGUUGAUGCCACAAACAAUUUCAGCAACGCUCAUUGCAUUGGAUCUGGAGGUAAUGGAUCAGUCUACAGAGUCCAGUUACCAACAGGUGAAUUGUUUGCAGUGAAAAAGAUCCAUAUGAUGGAAGAUAAUGAGCAAUUUAACCGUGAAAUACAAGCAUUGAUGUAUAUUCGACAUCGGAACAUUGCAAAGUUAUUUGGUUACUGCUCUGCAACCCAAGGAAGAUUUCUUGUGUAUGAAUACAUGGAUAGAGGAAGCUUAUCAGCAUCUUUGAAGGGUACAGAAACUGCAGUUGAAUUGGAUUGGCCGAAGAGGUUAAAUAUUGUUUGCGAUGUUGCUCAUGCUUUGUCUUACAUGCAUCAUGACUGCUUCGCACCGAUAGUCCACCGAGAUAUAACAAGCAACAACGUUUUGCUUGACCUGGAAUUUAGAGUUUGCAUCUCAGAUUUUGGUCUAGCGAAAAUACUAGAUGUGGAUGCAUCGAACUGCACUAGUCUCGCAGGGACAAAAGGAUAUCUUGCCCCAGAGCUUGCAUACACAACAAGGGUGACGGAGAAGUGCGAUGUUUAUAGCUUUGGGAUACUUGUUCUAGAGCUGUUCAUGGGACAUCAUCCAGGUGAUUUCCUUUUGUCCAUGGGCAACAACAAAAAUAGUACAUCAAUUGAGAAAUUUCUGGACACCCGGCUCCCACUCCCUGAAGCUGAGGUCGCAACUAAGAUAUUUCAAGUGGUCGCCAUCGCUGUUCGGUGCAUAGAGCCCGAUCCAUCGCACCGUCCGACGAUGCAGCAAGUAACCAAGGUGUUGUCAGCAGCUGAGCGACCUGCUAAUAAUCUUGAUUAUCUCCACACUAGCAUUGUCAUCCCUGCCUGCUGGUCGUGA
RNAcentral lists this ribosomal RNA (3600 nucleotides) under Triticum aestivum (bread wheat). RNAcentral describes it as "partial small subunit ribosomal RNA". The record is from RNAcentral. Lineage: Eukaryota; Viridiplantae; Streptophyta; Magnoliopsida; Poales; Poaceae.